This 538-nucleotide ribosomal RNA is filed under the name fungal sp. 2f8. RNAcentral describes it as "eukaryotic LSU rRNA". The stretch from base 179 to 332 matches the Rfam family "5.8S ribosomal RNA". Lineage: Eukaryota; Fungi. The record is from RNAcentral.
GGACGCGCCUCCGGCGCACCCANNNACCCUUUGUGAACUUAUACCUUACUGUUGCCUCGGCGCANAGCCGGCCCCCCUUCACAUGGGGGCCCCCCGGAGACGGGGAGCAGCCCGCCGGCGGCCAACCUAACUCUUGUUUCUACACUGGAUCUCUGAGUAAAAAACAUAAAUGAAUCAAAACUUUCAACAACGGAUCUCUUGGUUCUGGCAUCGAUGAAGAACGCAGCGAAAUGCGAUAAGUAAUGUGAAUUGCAGAAUUCAGUGAAUCAUCGAAUCUUUGAACGCACAUUGCGCCCUCUGGUAUUCCGGAGGGCAUGCCUGUUCGAGCGUCAUUUCAACCCUCAAGCCUGGCUUGGUGAUGGGGCACUGCUUCCGCGAGGGAGCAGGCCCUGAAAUCUAGUGGCGAGCUCGCCAGGACCCCGAGCGCAGUAGUUAAACCCUCGCUCUGGAAGGCCCUGGCGGUGCCCUGCCGUUAAACCCCCAACUUCUGAAAAUUUGACCUCGGAUCAGGUAGGAAUACCCGCUGAACUUAAGCANC